Molecule: non-coding RNA, 72 nt
Organism: Callorhinchus milii (elephant shark)
Lineage: Eukaryota; Metazoa; Chordata; Chondrichthyes; Chimaeriformes; Callorhinchidae
Source: the annotation of a RefSeq genome assembly
GGGGAUGUAGCUCAGUGGCAGAGCAUUUGACUGCAGAUCAAGAGGUCUCUGGUUCAAAUCCAGGCGUCUCCU